Molecule: ribosomal RNA, 247 nt
Filed under: uncultured bacterium
Lineage: Bacteria
Description: partial 16S ribosomal RNA
Rfam family: Bacterial small subunit ribosomal RNA
Source: RNAcentral
CACGCCGUAAACGAUGGGUACUAGAUGUUGCGGGAAUUGACCCCUGCAGUGUCGCAGCUAACGCAUUAAGUACCCCGCCUGGGAAGUACGGUCGCAAGAUUAAAACUCAAAGGAAUUGACGGGGGCCCGCACAAGCGGUGGAGCAUGUGGUUUAAUUCGAUGCAACGCGAAGAACCUUACCUGGGUUUGACAUCCCCUGACAGCCGUAGAGAUACGGUUUUGUAGCAAUACACAGGGAGACAGGUGC